RNAcentral lists this ribosomal RNA (1346 nucleotides) under uncultured bacterium. RNAcentral's name for it is "bacterial SSU rRNA". It matches the Rfam family "Bacterial small subunit ribosomal RNA", at positions 28 to 1381 of the family's 1533-position model. The record is from RNAcentral.
GACGAACGCUGGCGGCGUGCUUAACACAUGCAAGUCGAACGGAAAGGCCCUGCUUUUGUGGGGUGCUCGAGUGGCGAACGGGUGAGUAACACGUGAGUAACCUGCCCUUGACUUUGGGAUAACUUCAGGAAACUGGGGCUAAUACCGGAUAGGAGCUCCUGCUGCAUGGUGGGGGUUGGAAAGUUUCGGCGGUUGGGGAUGGACUCGCGGCUUAUCAGCUUGUUGGUGGGGUAGUGGCUUACCAAGGCUUUGACGGGUAGCCGGCCUGAGAGGGUGACCGGCCACAUUGGGACUGAGAUACGGCCCAGACUCCUACGGGAGGCAGCAGUGGGGAAUAUUGCACAAUGGGCGGAAGCCUGAUGCAGCAACGCCGCGUGCGGGAUGACGGCCUUCGGGUUGUAAACCGCUUUCGCCUGUGACGAAGCGUGAGUGACGGUAAUGGGUAAAGAAGCACCGGCUAACUACGUGCCAGCAGCCGCGGUGAUACGUAGGGUGCGAGCGUUGUCCGGAUUUAUUGGGCGUAAAGGGCUCGUAGGUGGUUGAUCGCGUCGGAAGUGUAAUCUUGGGGCUUAACCCUGAGCGUGCUUUCGAUACGGGUUGACUUGAGGAAGGUAGGGGAGAAUGGAAUUCCUGGUGGAGCGGUGGAAUGCGCAGAUAUCAGGAGGAACACCAGUGGCGAAGGCGGUUCUCUGGGCCUUUCCUGACGCUGAGGGGCGAAAGCGUGGGGAGCGAACAGGCUUAGAUACCCUGGUAGUCCACGCUGUAAACGGUGGGUACUAGGUGUGGGGUCCAUUCCACGGGUUCCGUGCCGUAGCUAACGCUUUAAGUACCCCGCCUGGGGAGUACGGCCGCAAGGCUAAAACUCAAAGGAAUUGACGGGGCCCCGCACAAGCGGCGGAGCAUGCGGAUUAAUUCGGUGCAACGCGUAGAACCUUACCUGGGUUUGACAUGGAUCGGGAGCGCUCAGAGAUGGGUGUGCCUCUUUUGGGGUCGGUUCACAGGUGGUGCAUGGCUGUCGUCAGCUCGUGUCGUGAGAUGUUGGGUUAAGUCCCGCAACGAGCGCAACCCUUGUUCACUGUUGCCAGCACGUUAUGGUGGGGACUCAGUGGAGACCGCCGGGGUCAACUCGGAGGAAGGUGGGGAUGACGUCAAGUCAUCAUGCCCCUUAUGUCCAGGGCUUCACGCAUGCUACAAUGGCUGGUACAGAGAGUGGCGAGCCUGUGAGGGUGAGCGAAUCUCGGAAAGCCGGUCUCAGUUCGGAUUGGGGUCUGCAACUCGACCUCAUGAAGUCGGAGUCGCUAGUAAUCGCAGAUCAGCAACGCUGCGGUGAAUACGUUCCCGGGGCU